RNAcentral lists this ribosomal RNA (469 nucleotides) under Chloropicon mariensis. Its description in RNAcentral is "partial Bacterial large subunit ribosomal RNA". It matches the Rfam family "Bacterial large subunit ribosomal RNA", at positions 1165 to 1695 of the family's 2925-position model. The record is from RNAcentral. Lineage: Eukaryota; Viridiplantae; Chlorophyta; Chloropicophyceae; Chloropicales; Chloropicaceae.
CGAUAAUAAACGGGCAUCAAGUCUUGUGCCGAAGCGAUGGAAGUAGUAAUACUUGGUAGGGGAGCAUUCUCAACGGCGGUGAAGGUGUGGCGGCAAGCCAUGCUGGAGCGUUGAGAAAAGCAAAUGUAGGGAUAAGUAACGAUAAGGAAGGUGAGAAACCUUCCCGCCGUAAGGAUCAGGAUUCCUCAGCUAUGCUAAUCAACUGAGGGUUAGUCGGGAGCUAAGGAGUUAGCGAAAGCGAAGCUUCGAUGCCCAGCAGGUUAAUAGUCCUGCACUUACACCAGUGCGAUGUAAUGACGGAGUUCAUGGGUUUCUACGUACGGACGGAAGUGUGCGUUGAGCCGAGCCCGCAAGGGCAAGGCGAAGAAAUGAGUGAGCUUCCAAGAAAAGUUACUAAGCUUCAGCUGGCUGUAACCCGUACCGCAAACCGACACAGGGAGUCAAGGAGAGAAUCCUAAGGUGCUCGAGU